GACGAACGCUGGCGGCGUGCCUAACACAUGCAAGUCGAGCGAGUGAAUCUCCUUCGGGAGUGAAGCUAGCGGCGGACGGGUGAGUAACACGUGGGCAACCUGCCUCAUAGAGGGGAAUAGCCUUCCGAAAGGAAGAUUAAUACCGCAUAAGAUUGUAGCUUCGCAUGAAGUAGCAAUUAAAGGAGCAAUCCGCUAUGAGAUGGGCCCGCGGCGCAUUAGCUAGUUGGUGAGGUAACGGCUCACCAAGGCGACGAUGCGUAGCCGACCUGAGAGGGUGAUCGGCCACAUUGGGACUGAGACACGGCCCAGACUCCUACGGGAGGCAGCAGUGGGGAAUAUUGCACAAUGGGGGAAACCCUGAUGCAGCAACGCCGCGUGAGUGAUGACGGCCUUCGGGUUGUAAAGCUCUUUCAGCCGGAAAGAAAUCGCGCAGGAUAAUACUCUGCGUGGAUGACGGUACCGGAAGAAGAAGCACCGGCUAACUACGUG
Molecule: ribosomal RNA, 489 nt
Filed under: uncultured bacterium
Lineage: Bacteria
Description: bacterial SSU rRNA
Rfam family: Bacterial small subunit ribosomal RNA
Source: RNAcentral